UUCUCUAAUAAUUCUUGUUAAAAGUGUUUAAUGUUAGUUAGGAAAACAUGAAAGUAACUUAUUAAUGUUAGUUGUAGUUGUAUCAAGUAAAAAAUUUAUAUUGUUGUUGUUGAAAUUUAGUAUUUAACGAUUCUAUUGAUUUUAUUUAUUUUGUUGUUGUUAUUCUUGCAGUUGUUGUUGUUGUUGUUGUCGUUGAGAUUUAAUGUUUAAAGAUUCCAUGGUUUUUGUUGUUGUUGUUGUUGUUUUUG
RNAcentral lists this long non-coding RNA (248 nucleotides) under Lathyrus oleraceus (garden pea). Its description in RNAcentral is "Pisum sativum (pea) long non-coding RNA (PSAT_LNC003970)". The record is from RNAcentral. Lineage: Eukaryota; Viridiplantae; Streptophyta; Magnoliopsida; Fabales; Fabaceae.